RNAcentral lists this ribosomal RNA (1370 nucleotides) under uncultured bacterium. RNAcentral's name for it is "bacterial SSU rRNA". It matches the Rfam family "Bacterial small subunit ribosomal RNA", at positions 28 to 1381 of the family's 1533-position model. The record is from RNAcentral.
GAUGAACGCUGGCGGCGUGCCUAAUACAUGCAAGUCGAGCGAACGGACGAGAAGCUUGCUUCUCUGAUGUUAGCGGCGGACGGGUGAGUAACACGUGGAUAACCUACCUAUAAGACUGGGAUAACUUCGGGAAACCGGAGCUAAUACCGGAUAAUAUUUUGAACCGCAUGGUUCAAAAGUGAAAGACGGUCUUGCUGUCACUUAUAGAUGGAUCCGCGCUGCAUUAGCUAGUUGGUAAAGUAACGGCUUACCAAGGCAACGAUGCAUAGCCGACCUGAGAGGGUGAUCGGCCACACUGGAACUGAGACACGGUCCAGACUCCUACGGGAGGCAGCAGUAGGGAAUCUUCCGCAAUGGGCGAAAGCCUGACGGAGCAACGCCGCGUGAGUGAUGAAGGUCUUCGGAUCGUAAAACUCUGUUAUCAGGGAAGAACAUAUGUGUAAGUAACUGUGCACAUCUUGACGGUACCUAAUCAGAAAGCCACGGCUAACUACGUGCCAGCAGCCCGCGGUAUACGUAGGUGGCAAGCGUUAUCCGGAAUAUUGGGCGUAAAGCGCGCGUANGCGGUUUUUUAGUCUGAUGUGAAAGCCCACGGCUCAACCGUGGAGGGUCAUUGGAAACUGGAAAACUUGAGUGCAGAAGAGGAAAGUGGAAUUCCAUGUGUAGCGGUGAAAUGCGCAGAGAUAUGGAGGAACACCAGUGGCGAAGGCGACUUUCUGGUCUGUAACUGACGCUGAUGUGCGAAAGCGUGGGGAUCAAACAGGAUUAGAUACCCUGGUAGUCCACGCCGUAAACGAUGAGUGCUAAGUGUUAGGGGGUUUCCGCCCCUUAGUGCUGCAGCUAACGCAUUAAGCACUCCGCCUGGGGAGUACGACCGCAAGGUUGAAACUCAAAGGAAUUGACGGGGACCCGCACAAGCGGUGGAGCAUGUGGUUUAAUUCGAAGCAACGCGAAGAACCUUACCAAAUCUUGACAUCCUUUGACAACUCUAGAGAUAGAGCUUUCCCCUUCGGGGGACAAAGUGACAGGUGGUGCAUGGUUGUCGUCAGCUCGUGUCGUGAGAUGUUGGGUUAAGUCCCGCAACGAGCGCAACCCUUAAGCUUAGUUGCCAUCAUUAAGUUGGGCACUCUAAGUUGACUGCCGGUGACAAACCGGAGGAAGGUGGGGAUGACGUCAAACCAUCAUGCCCCUUAUGAUUUGGGCUACACACGUGCUACAAUGGACAAUACAAAGGGCAGCGAAACCGCGAGGUCAAGCAAAUCCCAUAAAGUUGUUCUCAGUUCGGAUUGUAGUCUGCAACUCGACUACAUGAAGCUGGAAUCGCUAGUAAUCGUAGAUCAGCAUGCUACGGUGAAUACGUUCCCGGGUCU